AGAGUUUGAUCAUGGCUCAGGACGAACGCUGGCGGCGUGCCUAACACAUGCAAGUCGAACGGUCCUUAUAUUUAAAGCAAUUUAGAUAUAAGGAUAGUGGCGGACGGGUGAGUAACGCGUGGGUAACCUGCCCAACAGACCGGGACAACACUUGGAAACGGGUGCUAAUACCGGAUAAGCUUUUCUUCUGGCAUCAGAGGGAAAGGAAAGGCGGCCUCUAUAUAAAAGCUGCCGUUGUUGGAUGGACCCGCGUCUGAUUAGCUAGUUGGUGGGGUAAAGGCCUACCAAGGCGACGAUCAGUAGCCGGCCUGAGAGGGUGAACGGCCACACUGGGACUGAGACACGGCCCAGACUCCUACGGGAGGCAGCGGUGGGGAAUCUUCCGCAAUGGACGCAAGUCUGACGGAGCAACGCCGCGUGUAUGACGAAGGCCUUCGGGUUGUAAAAUACUGUCUUUGGGGACGAAUGUUAGCUAUGAAAAUAUUGUAGUUAAAUGACGGUACCCGAGGAGGAAGCCCCGGCUAACUACGUGCCAGCAGCCGCGGUAAUACGUAGGGGGCGAGCGUUGUCCGGAAUCAUUGGGCGUAAAGGGCGCGUAGGCGGAUAGUUAAGUCCGAUGUGAAAUACCAAGGCUCAACCUUGGGGCUGCAUCGGAAACUGGUUAUCUUGAGGACAGGAGAGGAAAGUGGAAUUCCUAGUGUAGCGGUGAAAUGCGUAGAUAUUAGGAGGACACCAGUGGCGAGGCGACUUUCUGACUGUACUGACGCUGAGCGCGAAAGCGUGGGGAGCAAACAGAUAAGAUACCCUGUAGUCCACGCCGUAACGAUGAGUGCUAAGGUGUAGAGGGAUCGACCCCUUCUGAGCCGGAGUAACACAAUAAGCACUCCGCUUGGG
RNAcentral lists this ribosomal RNA (894 nucleotides) under uncultured bacterium. RNAcentral's name for it is "bacterial SSU rRNA". It matches the Rfam family "Bacterial small subunit ribosomal RNA", at positions 8 to 877 of the family's 1533-position model. The record is from RNAcentral.